This 681-nucleotide long non-coding RNA is filed under the name Felis catus (domestic cat). RNAcentral describes it as "lncRNA (ENSFCAG00000048569.1)". The record is from RNAcentral. Lineage: Eukaryota; Metazoa; Chordata; Mammalia; Carnivora; Felidae.
CCUAUGUGAAGCCUGAUCAGACCCAAAAGGUAUAUAAAUACCAGCACCUGGGUAUAAAGAAGUUUCUUGAGGAGGCCUGGGAGGGUGGGUGUGAUUAAUUUUCAGGUUCCUAAAAACAUGAAGACAGUUAAAAAAAAUGACAAAUCUGAGAAUAAAUUUUGUUUAUUUUUUUUCAGGAGUAGACCAGAAGAAUACCAUCCUUAGACCUGGGAAGUAGGGACUCCUGCCCUGGGGGCUGUAUUUCAGAGGCCUCCAAUCUGGCCCUUCUCUGGCCACAACUCUUCCCAUGAAGCAAGAAAACCUCAGCAUCAAGGAGAUGCGUCUCCCCUCUUCUAGACCAUGGGCCUGCUUCUCUUCUCAUACCCUGGGCCCACCUUAGGACCUACAUGAGCAGCAUUCUCAGAAUAUCCUCUCAAGGAACAAAGGUGCAUAAUCAGCUGCCUGCUGGUAUUCUGGGGAAAAAAUGUCCUUGGCUCCUUCUAGAUUUUACUUCAAGAGUAUUGAGAAACCCAAUGAGAUAAACCCAUGUUAUCAUCAUCAUGAGAAGAGAACUUCAAAGCCAUGGAAUCUAGAAAUAAAAUCAAUGGAUGACAUGACAGAAGAGGAAGGAGUGUGGCUUCAGGGACUUAUCAGUUCCAUCAACAUCUGUGGAAUGCAUUUUUUAGCAGUAUAUUUAUAAAG